RNAcentral lists this ribosomal RNA (424 nucleotides) under uncultured bacterium. RNAcentral's name for it is "bacterial SSU rRNA". It matches the Rfam family "Bacterial small subunit ribosomal RNA", at positions 355 to 775 of the family's 1533-position model. The record is from RNAcentral.
UAAGGAAUAUUGGUCAAUGGACGCAAGUCUGAACCGGCCAUGCCGCAUGAAGGAAGACGGCCCUACGGGUUGUAAACUUCUUUUGUACGGGAAAAAACCUCCGGUCGUGAACCGGAGCUGAUGGUACCGUAAGGAUAAGCAUCGGCUAACUCCGUGCCAGCAGCCGCGGUAAUACGGAGGAUGCAAGCGUUAUCCGGAUUCAUUGGGUUUAAAGGGUGCGCAGGCGGAAUGAUAAGUCAGUGGUGAAAUCCUACAGCUCAACUGUAGAACUGCCAUUGAUACUAUCGUUCUUGAGUACACUUAGAGUGGGCGGAAUGUGUGAUGAAGCGGUGAAAUGCUUAGAAAUGACACAGAACACCGAACGCGAAGGCAGCUCACUAAAUUGUAACUGACGCUCAGGCACGAAAGCGUGGGGAUCAAACAG